Molecule: long non-coding RNA, 3227 nt
Filed under: Volvox carteri
Lineage: Eukaryota; Viridiplantae; Chlorophyta; Chlorophyceae; Chlamydomonadales; Volvocaceae
Description: long non-coding RNA (VCAR_LNC003813)
Source: RNAcentral
GGCAACCGCUGCACCCACCGCUGGCCCCGGUCAGCCUGGCCAACAACAGCAGCUGUGGCGGCGGAGAUUUGGGUAGUCCACCGCUGCUUAACAAAGCGUCGGGUAGCACCGAUCGCGCUGAGUUUAACGUGCCCGACGGCAGUGCCAACGGCGGACACAAUAGUGCUGCGCAGGAGCUUAACAUGCCCGACGGCAGUGCGGACAGCGGAGGCCACAGCGCGGUGCAGGAGCCGCGCAAAUAUGAGGAAGCGGUGGCGAGUCCGCAAGCUGACAAGUGGAAGAGUUCGAUGGAUGACGAGAUCCUGUCGCAGCUCUCCAACAAAACAUGGGAGUCAGUGGUGCCUUGAUGGACAGAGGCAGGUUCGAUGCCUUGAUUGUGGCCUGCAAGCAAGUCAGUGCUUCAUGAGUGUGUAGUGACACGUUGUGCUGCUGUUAGGGGCCUUACCCGGCAGAACCUCUCAUUGAAGUUGUGUUGGACAACUUCAUCCAUGACUUUAACAACCUCUGCAACAAAAUCCCGGUCCCAGGCACCCCGCUGCUUGCAUCCCUUGGCGAGUAUGUCAUCCUUGCUCUUCUUGCUUGAUUUUAAGUUUGCACUUCUCUCUCCUGGGAAGCUGUGGGGUUCCAAGGGAAGAAGGAACAAGGCAAUUCCCAGGUUGUCAUGCUUAUGCUUUUAAGGGCCACAACAGCAGCUUUAAACCAGCCAUCUUGGCAAAAAAGAAAAGAAAAUUCAGUGCAUUUCAGUUAGAAAGGGCUAAGCAGAUUGAAGUCGGCUGCUGGCUGGGAAUCACAUUUAAAUGCCAUUGUUGACGGCAGGUCAACGAACACACCUGUUCCCGUGGGAAGCUCCUUCACACCGAAUGUGUCAUAGAAUAUGACAUGUUGCAGAAGACAAUCCUCUGUCAGGNNNNNNNNNNNNNNNNNNNNNNNNNNNNNNNNNNNNNNNNNNNNNNNNNNNNNNNNNNNNNNNNNNNNNNNNNNNNNNNNNNNNNNNNNNNNACAUUCAUCUGCAUAAUAUUGGACGUCGCAAGUUUUAACCAUGCAUAGUAGCUGUCAAUGUAUUGCAGCAACUUCUCACUGCGUCCAGCGAUCAUCUCGUUAGGAGCCACGGCAUCGAGGCCAAAAAGCUCUGUGCCAUUAUUACCACCAUGAGGCUGGACGCACUGAUGCGUGAUGACGUGAUUAUAUGCAUGAGACGUGCUAUGAUACUUGCGUCCGCAGGACACACACGUAAUUUCAAAUUGCGACAACGCAUAUAGUCGACCGCGGCAGAGGUAACGUGGAUAUGUUUUAACUGAAGGGGCCAUCUUUAUUAGCUAUUAUUACAUCUUCAACAGAAAGCAGGACUUGCGAACAGAUGCUGUGUGCAUUUGUAUGUUCUGAAGGGCCCUACAGCCCUUCAUUCUGGGACAAGCGCAGACUUAACGAAACCUUACGUUUGGAGUAUUUGUACAGUCAUAAGUAAUUAAAACAAUCCCUGGCAUGGCGAUAUUACAAGGCUUUUGCAUGCUAAGUGGCCAUUUCAGCCGAACUCCGUCGAUAUGCUCUGAAGGCCCCUCAGCCCUUCGUUAUGAAAUGGGCACGAAUGAGCACGAAACGACAACUAGAUGAAGGGAUUCCCGGGUAUCGAAGGGAAGCUGGUUCCCAGAGUGGGGAGGCCACGCCGUGGGCAGCUUAUCAUGGCGUCACCCCUGACGUCAGCCACCUGCACACCUUUGGCUGCCUGGCCUACGUCCGCAUCCCAGCCAGCCAGCAGGAUAAGCUCGGUCCCCGCGCGAAGGCGGGAACCUACCUUGGACCGGAGCGCAACACGGCCGCCCACUGUGUCCUUGUUGACGGCAAGGUGACUGUUAGCAGUGACGUCACCUUCGAUGAUGACCACCGCGGCCCGGCAUCUCAACGGGCAGGCACCCCCUUCGGCACCAGCCCCGCCCGUCCUGGCGGCAGCGACCCCGUCGGCGGCUCAACACAGCCUGCCACACCGCCAACUCAAGUGGAUGCCCUGCCCCCAGUGAACCCAGCGCCCCCCUCCGCCCUAACACUCGCAGUCAACGGCAACCGCUGCACCCACCGCUGGCCCCGGUCAGCCUGGCCAACAACAGCAGCUGUGGCGGCGGAGAUUUGGGUAGUCCACCGCUGCUUAACAAAGCGUCGGGUAGCACCGAUCGCGCUGAGUUUAACGUGCCCGACGGCAGUGCCAACGGCGGACACAAUAGUGCUGCGCAGGAGCUUAACAUGCCCGACGGCAGUGCGGACAGCGGAGGCCACAGCGCGGUGCAGGAGCCGCGCAAAUAUGAGGAAGCGGUGGCGAGUCCGCAAGCUGACAAGUGGAAGAGUUCGAUGGAUGACGAGAUCCUGUCGCAGCUCUCCAACAAAACAUGGGAGUCAGUGGUGCCUUGAUGGACAGAGGCAGGUUCGAUGCCUUGAUUGUGGCCUGCAAGCAAGUCAGUGCUUCAUGAGUGUGUAGUGACACGUUGUGCUGCUGUUAGGGGCCUUACCCGGCAGAACCUCUCAUUGAAGUUGUGUUGGACAACUUCAUCCAUGACUUUAACAACCUCUGCAACAAAAUCCCGGUCCCAGGCACCCCGCUGCUUGCAUCCCUUGGCGAGUAUGUCAUCCUUGCUCUUCUUGCUUGAUUUUAAGUUUGCACUUCUCUCUCCUGGGAAGCUGUGGGGUUCCAAGGGAAGAAGGAACAAGGCAAUUCCCAGGUUGUCAUGCUUAUGCUUUUAAGGGCCACAACAGCAGCUUUAAACCAGCCAUCUUGGCAAAAAAGAAAAGAAAAUUCAGUGCAUUUCAGUUAGAAAGGGCUAAGCAGAUUGAAGUCGGCUGCUGGCUGGGAAUCACAUUUAAAUGCCAUUGUUGACGGCAGGUCAACGAACACACCUGUUCCCGUGGGAAGCUCCUUCACACCGAAUGUGUCAUAGAAUAUGACAUGUUGCAGAAGACAAUCCUCUGUCAGGGCACCCGCAAGGGCUUUUGAUACUUCGUCGCCAUUGGAGGUGAGGACCGAGUUCAUUAUCAGGGUCCGCUGGGCUGCAAAGUGCUGGAGGUAACCGACAGGCUUCAACGUGACAUUGGCCCGUCUAAUUAGAAGUGCGGAAUGCUGCACCGCCGACAUUCUGAGCAAGCUCGCGGUCAAAGGAAAGUCGAUGACUUUGGCUGUCGUCUGUUUGGUCAAAGAGUAUAAGUAUAUUAAGUAAGAAUUACAUGUAUUUGGCACAGUUAAG